Molecule: ribosomal RNA, 253 nt
Filed under: uncultured bacterium
Lineage: Bacteria
Description: partial 16S ribosomal RNA
Rfam family: Bacterial small subunit ribosomal RNA
Source: RNAcentral
UACAGAGGUGGCAAGCGUUGUUCGGAAUUACUGGGCGUAAAGGGCGCGUAGGUGGCCUUUUGAGUCAGACGUGAAAUCCCCCGGCUUAACCUGGGAACUGCGUCUGAUACUGGAAGGCUUGAGUUCGGGAGAGGGAUGUGGAAUUCCAGGUGUAGCGGUGAAAUGCGUAGAUAUCAGGAGGAACACCAAUGGCGAAGGCAGCUCGCUGGAACGGUACUGACGCUGAGGCGCGAAAGCGUGGGGAGCGAACAGG